GUUUUAAUAAUUUAAUAAAAAUAUUGAUCUUGUAAAUCAAACUUAAGCAUAAAACUUUUAAAGCU
Molecule: transfer RNA, 65 nt
Filed under: Dipseudopsis sp. XG-2021
Lineage: Eukaryota; Metazoa; Arthropoda; Insecta; Trichoptera; Dipseudopsidae
Description: tRNA-Thr
Source: RNAcentral